Molecule: small RNA, 164 nt
Filed under: Yersinia enterocolitica subsp. enterocolitica 8081
Lineage: Bacteria; Pseudomonadati; Pseudomonadota; Gammaproteobacteria; Enterobacterales; Yersiniaceae
Description: RtT RNA (RF00391) as predicted by Rfam
Rfam family: RtT RNA (bases 39-164)
About the family: This family represents a bacterial cis-regulatory element known as RtT RNA. The exact function of RtT is unknown although it is thought that it may be involved in changing the cellular response in relation to amino acid starvation.
Source: RNAcentral
CAGUAUCUCAGCAACUUUUCCCAAACUCUGAAAUCGCAUACUACACAAUAUCGUGUGGGUGAGACCCUGCGUUCAGGUUCGAGCCGAGCGAAGCGAGACAGCAACGCGCCAGCGUUGACCCGAAGGGCGAGGCCAGAGGCCGAGUCAUCCCGCACGACCCACCA